AGCAGCCGCGGUAAUUCCAGCUCCAAUAGCGUAUAUUAAAGUUGUUGCAGUUAAAAAGCUCGUAGUUGAAUUUCGGGAUCAAUACGUCGGUCGUGCUUUCGGGUACGUACUGGCGUCAUUGGUUUCUCCUUUCUGACGAACCAUGAUGUCAUUAAUUUGGUGUUAUGGGGAGUUAGGACUGUUACUUUGAAAAAAUUAGAGUGUUUAAAGCAGGCAUUAGCUUGAAUACAUUAGCAUGGAAUAAUGAAAUAGGACGUUCGAUCCUAUUUUGUCGGUUUCUAGGAUCAACGUAAUGAUUAAUAGGGAUAGUUGGGGGCAUUAGUAUUCAAUUGUCAGAGGUGAAAUUCUUGGAUUUAUUGAAGACUAACUACUGCGAAAGCAUUUGCCAAGGAUGUUUUCAUUAAUCAAGAACGAAGUUAGGGGAUCGAAGACGAUCAGAUACCGUCGUAGUCUUAACCAUAAACUAUGCCGACUAGGGAUCGGAUGAUGUUAAUUUUUUAAUGACUCAUUCGGCGCCUUA
Molecule: ribosomal RNA, 520 nt
Filed under: uncultured Glomus
Lineage: Eukaryota; Fungi; Glomeromycota; Glomeromycetes; Glomerales; Glomeraceae
Description: SSU rRNA
Rfam family: Eukaryotic small subunit ribosomal RNA
Source: RNAcentral